Hyalella azteca is the source of this 214-nucleotide small nucleolar RNA. RefSeq annotates it as small nucleolar RNA U3. The record is from RefSeq and is a predicted model, not a curated record. The transcript has a single exon. Lineage: Eukaryota; Metazoa; Arthropoda; Malacostraca; Amphipoda; Hyalellidae.
AAGAAAUUCAUUUCUAGAUGAGUCUCUCAUACCGGAAAUGUCCCGGUUUUGCGCGUGUGUUCAGGUUCCUUGCGUCGGUUAAGCCACGAUGACGAGUUCAUCGCACGGUCCUGAGCGGGAAACUACUCGCUAGAGAUCCGUCUCUGCGAGCCUGAUGACCGUUCCUAGUUCUUCCUUGUGGAGUCUAGGAGGGGCCGUGCGCCGGCUGAGUGGU